AAAGAAACCAACAGGGAUUGCCUCAGUAACGGCGAGUGAAGCGGCAACAGCUCAAAUUUGAAAUCUGGCCGCAAGGCCCGAGUUGUAAUUUGCAGAGGAUGCUUUUGGCGAGGUGCCUUCCGAGUUCCCUGGAACGGGACGCCAUAGAGGGUGAGAGCCCCGUACGGUUGGACCACCGAGCCUCUGUAAAGCUCCUUCGACGAGUCGAGUAGUUUGGGAAUGCUGCUCUAAAUGGGAGGUGUACGUCUUCUAAAGCUAAAUACCGGCCAGAGACCGAUAGCGCACAAGUAGAGUGAUCGAAAGAUGAAAAGCACUUUGAAAAGAGGGUUAAAAAGUACGUGAAAUUGUUGAAAGGGAAGCGUUUAUGACCAGACUUGGGCUUGGUUGAACAUCCGGCGUUCUCGCCGGUGCACUCUGCCAGCCCAGGCCAGCAUCAGUUCGCCCCGGGGGACAAAGGCGGCGGGAAUGUGGCUCCUCCGGGAGUGUUAUAGCCCGCUGCGCAAUGCCCUGGGGUGGACUGAGGAACGCGCUUCGGCACGGAUGCUGGCGUAAUGGUCAUCAACGACCCGUCUUGAAACACGGACCAAGGAGUCGUCUUCGUAUGCGAGUGUUCGGGUGUCAAACCCCUACGCGUAAUGAAAGUGAACGUAGGUGAGAGCUUCGGCGCAUCACCGACCGAUCCUGAUGUUCUCGGAUGGAUUUGAGUAAGAGCAUACGGGGCCGGACCCGAAAGAAGGUGAACUAUGCCUGUAUAGGGUGAAGCCAGAGGAAACUCUGGUGGAGGCUCGCAGCGGUUCUGACGUGCAAAUCGAUCGUCAAAUAUGGGCAUGGGGGCGAAAGACUAAUCGAACCUUCUAGUAGCUGGUUUCCGCCGAAGUUUCCCUCAGGA
This 889-nucleotide ribosomal RNA is filed under the name Sarocladium brachiariae. Its description in RNAcentral is "eukaryotic LSU rRNA". It matches the Rfam family "Eukaryotic large subunit ribosomal RNA", at positions 58 to 978 of the family's 3401-position model. The record is from RNAcentral. Lineage: Eukaryota; Fungi; Ascomycota; Sordariomycetes; Hypocreales; Sarocladiaceae.